Peromyscus maniculatus bairdii (prairie deer mouse) is the source of this 773-nucleotide non-coding RNA. Lineage: Eukaryota; Metazoa; Chordata; Mammalia; Rodentia; Cricetidae. The record is from RefSeq and is a predicted model, not a curated record.
UCAAGAGGCAGAGGCAGGCGGAUCUUUGAGUUUGAGGCCAGCCUGGUCCACAGAGUGAGUUCUAGGACAACCAGGGCCGAGAAACUUUUUCCAAAAUCCAAACCCCCAAACCAACCACCCAACCAAACACACACUCAAGCUGACACACUGUAUCAUAUCAAAGGAAGUAAUGCUAUGACCACUGAAUUCUCUUAGGCUGCUUCUUAGUUUUACCUUCCCAAGAUUCUUCCAGCAAUUCACUACUUGCCGCUCUGAUAGAAAGGUAUCCUGGCAUUCAGAAGCCAAGAAAUAACUACAGCUCGGAAGGGAAAGGUAUCCUGACAGAAGUGUUACAGCUCUGCUCCAGUAAGGGAAAGUUUCCCCAGCCAAAGUGUUACAGAUCUGCUCUGCUCCAGCUCCACUCUCCUCUGCUCUGGGGAAGGCAAAAGAAAGUCGUGACAACAAACCUCACUCAAGAGAUUUAUUGGGAGGGGAGAAUCCAGGAGAGUGACCGACUCUGCCAGGGCAGAAAAGGCAGCCCCAAACUAAACAGUCUUUGGAUUCCUAUGGAUUAUGUGCAGCAAGCUCAGGAUGCCGUCAUCAGCCCUGCUGAACAGUUCUGACUUCUGUUUAACUCUGGACUAGCAUGACACAUAUUUGAUUCUUCUUCAGCCCAAAGAGGUAUUAUAGUUCCAGGGUAUAUUUUCUUACAUUCAUGGGAGAUAUUGCAGAUACUAUUGGUAAUGGAUAUAAAUGUGUAAAUCCAUCAAACUUGUAAAUGAAUUGCUAGGCAU